This 611-nucleotide ribosomal RNA is filed under the name uncultured bacterium. RNAcentral describes it as "bacterial SSU rRNA". It matches the Rfam family "Bacterial small subunit ribosomal RNA", at positions 876 to 1504 of the family's 1533-position model. The record is from RNAcentral.
GGGAGUACGCCGCAAGGUUAAACUCAAGGAAUUGACGGGACCGCACAAGCGUGAUGAUGUGUUUAAUUCGAUCAACGCGAAAACCUUACCACCUUGACAUGUACGGAAGUUACCAGAGAUGUUUCGUGCUCGAAAGAGAACCGUAACACAGGUGCUGCAUGGCUGUCGUCAGCUCGUGUCGUGAGAUGUUGGGUUAAGUCCCGCAACGAGCGCAACCCUUGUCAUUAGUUGCUACGAAAGGGCACUCUAAUGAGACUGCCGGUGAUAAACCGGAGGAAGGUGGGGAUGACGUCAAAUCCUCAUGGCCCUUAUAGGUGGGGCUACACACGUCAUACAAUGGCUGGUACAGAGGGUUGCCAACCCGCGAGGGGGAGCUAAUCCCAUAAAACCAGUCGUAGUCCGGAUCGCAGUCUGCAACUCGACUGCGUGAAGUCGGAAUCGCUAGUAAUCGCGGAUCAGAAUGUCGCGGUGAAUACGUUCCCGGGUCUUGUACACACCGCCCGUCACACCAUGGGAGCGGGUUCUGCCAGAAGUAGUUAGCCUAACCGCAAGGAGGGCGAUUACCACGGCAGGGUUCGUGACUGGGGUGAGGUCGUAACAAGGUAACCGUA